This 469-nucleotide ribosomal RNA is filed under the name uncultured bacterium. RNAcentral's name for it is "bacterial SSU rRNA". It matches the Rfam family "Bacterial small subunit ribosomal RNA", at positions 28 to 507 of the family's 1533-position model. The record is from RNAcentral.
GACGAACGCUGGCGGCGUGCUUAACACAUGCAAAGUCGAACGAUGAAGCUGGAGCUUGCUCCGGUGGAUUAGUGGCGAACGGGUGAGUAACACGUGAGAAAUCUGCCCCUGACUCUGGGAUAAGCGUUGGAAACGACGUCUAAUACCGGAUACGAGCUAGGACCGCAUGGUCACUAGCUGGAAAGAAUUUUGGUCAAGGAUGGACUCGCGGCCUAUCAGCUAGUUGGUGAGGUAACGGCCCACCAAGGCGACGACGGGUAGCCGGCCUGAGAGGGUGACCGGCCACACUGGGACUGAGACACGGCCCAGACUCCUACGGGAGGCAGCAGUGGGGAAUAUUGCACAAUGGGCGAAAGCCUGAUGCAGCAACGCCGCGUGAGGGACGACGGCCUUCGGGUUGUAAACCUCUUUUAGCAGGGAAGAAGCGAGAGUGACGGUACCUGCAGAAAAAGCACCGGCUAACUACGUG